UACCGAAGGUGCUUCCUCGGUCUGAGCGU
This 29-nucleotide non-coding RNA is filed under the name Mus musculus (house mouse). The record is from RNAcentral. Lineage: Eukaryota; Metazoa; Chordata; Mammalia; Rodentia; Muridae.